Aspergillus oryzae RIB40 is the source of this 73-nucleotide transfer RNA. It matches the Rfam family "tRNA". From Rfam's summary of the family: Transfer RNA (tRNA) molecules are approximately 80 nucleotides in length. Their secondary structure includes four short double-helical elements and three loops (D, anti-codon, and T loops). Further hydrogen bonds mediate the characteristic L-shaped molecular structure. tRNAs have two regions of fundamental functional importance: the anti-codon, which is responsible for specific mRNA codon recognition, and the 3' end, to which the tRNAs corresponding amino acid is attached (by aminoacyl-tRNA synthetases). tRNAs cope with the degeneracy of the genetic code in two manners: having more than one tRNA (with a specific anti-codon) for a particular amino acid; and 'wobble' base-pairing, i.e. permitting non-standard base-pairing at the 3rd anti-codon position. The record is from Rfam. Lineage: Eukaryota; Fungi; Ascomycota; Eurotiomycetes; Eurotiales; Aspergillaceae.
GGCCGGGUGGCGCAAUGGUAGCGCGUUGGUUUCCGGUACCAAAGGUUUGCGGGUUCGAGUCCCGUCCUGGUCG